GUACUCAUUUCAUCAGUAUGUACACUAAAAUUAGAAUGAUACAGAGAGAAUUAGCAUGGCCCUUGUGAAAGGAAAACACACACAUUUGUGAAGGAUUUCAUAUUUUU
Molecule: small nuclear RNA, 107 nt
Organism: Perognathus longimembris pacificus (Pacific pocket mouse)
Lineage: Eukaryota; Metazoa; Chordata; Mammalia; Rodentia; Heteromyidae
Source: RefSeq, a predicted model, not a curated record